RNAcentral lists this ribosomal RNA (253 nucleotides) under uncultured bacterium. RNAcentral describes it as "partial 16S ribosomal RNA". It matches the Rfam family "Bacterial small subunit ribosomal RNA", at positions 524 to 776 of the family's 1533-position model. The record is from RNAcentral.
GACAGAGGGUGCAAACGUUGCUCGGAAUUACUGGGCGUAAAGCGCGUGUAGGUGGUCACCCCAGUCGGAUGUGAAAGCCCAGGGCUCAACCCUGGACGUGCAUACGAUACUAGGUGACUGGAGUCUCGGAGAGGAUAGCGGAAUUCCCGGUGUAGAGGUGAAAUUCGUAGAUAUCGGGAGGAACACCAGUGGCGAAGGCGGCUAUCUGGACGAGUACUGACACUGAGACGCGAAAGCAUGGGGAGCAAACAGG